Molecule: unclassified non-coding RNA, 227 nt
Filed under: Hyaloscyphaceae sp.
Lineage: Eukaryota; Fungi; Ascomycota; Leotiomycetes; Helotiales; Hyaloscyphaceae
Description: partial contains small subunit ribosomal RNA, internal transcribed spacer 1, and 5.8S ribosomal RNA
Rfam family: Eukaryotic small subunit ribosomal RNA (bases 1-46)
Source: RNAcentral
AAGUCGUAACAAGGUUUCCGUAGGUGAACCUGCGGAAGGAUCAUUAAAAAUGAAGCCGGGAAACCGGUCCUUCUAACCCUUGAUUAUCUUAAUUUGUUGCUUUGGUGGGCCGCGCAAGCACUGGCUUCGGCUAGUUAGUGCCCACCAGAGGACCACAACUCUGUAAUAAAUGUCGUCUGAGUACUAUAAAAUAGUUAAAACUUUCAACAACGGAUCUCUUGGUUCUG